Non-coding RNA from Prunus avium (sweet cherry), 663 nucleotides. The record is from RefSeq and is a predicted model, not a curated record. Lineage: Eukaryota; Viridiplantae; Streptophyta; Magnoliopsida; Rosales; Rosaceae.
CUUAAUUACUGUAGCACCCCCUGAAACUUCGGUCAAAUCUCACUUAACCCCCCCAAAGUUAAAAUGGCCCACUUUACCCCCUUGACCGUGGUUUUGUGUUCCAUUUAACCCCCCACCGUCAACGCCAUCCAAACGACCGUCAAAAAAGCUGACGUGGCAGGGGCAUUAUGGUCCAAUCAUCCACGGUGCCCAAUUGCUAACCCUAUUCAGCAUCCUACGUGGCAUAGUGGACCCCACAUGCGUUGAAAAUCCUAAUCUAAGGUGGAGACUUAAUGAGCGGACCCCAAAUAACAAUCUCCCCUCUUCUUCUUCGAUAAUAGGGUUGGUAAACCCAGAAAAAUUACUUGCCACCAUUUUAAGGAUUUAGGGUUCCCCAGAGAAAAAUCUCUCCAUCUUUCUUCGAUUAGAGGGUGUGAAGAUGAGGAAAGAACCUCCAGGAGGAGAAGAGCUGGCCGUUGCAGCACCUCAUUGCUAUUGUGGGAGGCUUGCUCGGCUGCAGACUUCUUGGACAGAGUCCAACCCACUUCGGAGGUUCUUUGUGUGUCCAAAGUCAGAGAGGGGGAAAAACGGUUGUGGGUUUUUUGUAUGGGUUGAUAUUGAAAUGCCUCGCCGUGAGAGAGCUCUGAUGGCUUGGCUGCUGAGGACAAAGAGAGAAGUUGAAGA